GGCAACUUGGACUACAGCAGUGGCAAUAGAGACUUGCUGAUCAGUGCAGCUGAGAACAUGUUGAAUUUGAUGUGCCUGUGGAUAUUUGAGUCUGGAACAUUGAAGACAAGUUUGGUCUGGAGAUGUAGACUGGGGAUAUCUCAGCACACAGAUGAUAACUGAAAUGAUGGAGCGGAUGAUAUAACCUGGAGAGAAUCUGGUGUGGGAAGAGUCUUCCCUGAGGUGGCCGAAAGAUGUAAUUCUUACUCCAAAGACUGAAAUAGAGACAAGAGAAGCUGAAGUUACAGGGUUUUGUCAUUGGGAAGACAGUAGAGUGUGUCAUAUCCCAAGAGUGAAGCAAGGACAAACCAAAGAACAACUGGGAAGAUCUGGGAGAAAAAGGGUGAGUGCAGUGGCUAGAAGAAGAGGGAGAAGGUUAUGUGAGUAGCAAAAAACUGGGAGGAGUGAGUGGCUCUGGAUAUUGUCCUUAAAGAAGCUCCAGACUCAAGAGGCCCUUUCACGUGACGGCUGACGUGUGCUUGUAAGGUGGUCAUGGGCACUUUGAAAGGUAGUACUGGGCUGGACUCUAUUAUUCCUAACAUUGCCAGGUGAUCCUUGUGAGGCUAGCUUACAUGGAAAAGGCCUUCAGAUUUUUGUGCUUUGUUGAGCACAUUGUGUUCUGCCUUAGUUUCCC
RNAcentral lists this long non-coding RNA (673 nucleotides) under Pan troglodytes (chimpanzee). RNAcentral's name for it is "long non-coding RNA NONPTRT002903". The record is from RNAcentral. Lineage: Eukaryota; Metazoa; Chordata; Mammalia; Primates; Hominidae.